This 858-nucleotide ribosomal RNA is filed under the name Triticum aestivum (bread wheat). Its description in RNAcentral is "partial small subunit ribosomal RNA". The record is from RNAcentral. Lineage: Eukaryota; Viridiplantae; Streptophyta; Magnoliopsida; Poales; Poaceae.
AUGGGGAGGUCGAUGAGGGGUCUCCUCGCCGUCGUGGCGUUCGCGGCGGUGCUGAGGCUCGGGCUCGUCGGCGCGAACUUCGCCGACCUGUGCGACAUCACAUGGGAGCCGCAGAACGCCGCGAUGACGGACGGAGGGGAGCACCUCACGCUCUCCCUCGUCAGCAACAUCUCAGGCAGUAUGCUCCGGACCAAGAAGACGUUCAUCUACGGCAGCAUCUCCACCUUGAUCAAGCUGGUCAAGGGAAACUCGGCCGGCACCGUCACCACCUACUACACGUCGUCGGUGGGCGACGACCACGACGAGAUCGACUUCGAGUUCCUGGGCAACGAGACGGGCCAGCCCUACACCAUCCACACCAACGUGUUCGCCGACGGCGUGGGCGCCAAGGAGGUGCAGUUCUACCCCUGGUUCGACCCCACCGCCGACUUCCACAACUACACCAUCUUCUGGAACCCCUCCAUGAUCGUGUGGUUUGUGGACAGCAUCCCGAUCCGCGUGUUCCGCAACUACGCGAGCAAGGGCGUGCCGUUCCCGACGAAGCGGCCGAUGUACGGCUUCUCCAGCAUCUGGUCGGCGGACGACUGGGCCACGCAGGGCGGCCGCGUCAAGACGGACUGGGCCAAGGCGCCCUUCGUCGCCGAGUACGACAACAUGGGCCUCGACGUCUGCGAGUGCCUGAGCACCGACGCCGAGUGCGCCGCCAGAUGCAACAAGGACACCCCGCCGGAGCCGUCCCAGCUCACCAAGGAGCAGAUGCGCCAGCUCAGGGCCGUGCAGCUCGGCUACACCAUCUACGACUACUGCGUCAACGGCAAGGGCCCCGUACCGCCCGAGUGCAGCAUGCCCCAGUACUGA